RNAcentral lists this long non-coding RNA (1752 nucleotides) under Triticum aestivum (bread wheat). Its description in RNAcentral is "long non-coding RNA (TAES_LNC003000)". Lineage: Eukaryota; Viridiplantae; Streptophyta; Magnoliopsida; Poales; Poaceae. The record is from RNAcentral.
CUUCUUAAAAGAGUAGUACAAGGGCAAUCAUCCAGGCAAACUGAACAAUAUCAUCACAAGUAUGAAACUGAACCUUUAGUUGCACUAGAUGACUACCCUUGUCACCUCAAGAUUCAAGCCUCUCCUCUUAUCCUCUUCUCCAACCAUGCACUGAAAACUGCACAAAAUGCAGAAAAUGUACGUUAAACCAACCUUCAUCAAUAGAUCUUUUUUGAAUGAUGGUCGACUCUGUACAUGGUCCAGAGAUUGGAUCAUAAUGAAAACUAAAAUAUUGCGUUAGCCUUUCCCAUAAGUUUUUUGAAGAAGAAAAUCAGAAGCAUCAGUACCUACUACAUGGAAAACAAAUCCCUUUAGAAAAGUUUUGCAUGUAGAUUAUGAUAUUAUCAUAGCUUCUUUAUGAUUUAGAUUUUAACCGUAUUCAGGACAAUAUCAGUGGCAUCUCAACGAUCUAGUUAAAUACCUAGACCAAAACUCAAUGAAGAACCACAAAUCAGUCGAACCUAAACAUGAAAAUUUGGAACUCGCUGACUUUAUGUCACUCUAGCAGUAAUAGUAGUACGAGCUCUGGUAGAAAAUGUAACUCGCAAGGUGCAUAUAGAUACGCUGCUGUCUUUUUUUUGUUUCAAAGAGAAUGCUCGCGAAGAGAAGAUACAAAGGAUUUGAUAAAAACAUUUUCGUGUAAUAAAACUGCAGCCAACGAAGUAGAUAACUGCAUAGGCUAUGCACUGUAAUCGUGGCAGCAACCCAACAACAGUAAAUACCAUAUAUCAGUUGACAGCGUCAAAAAUAACCAAAGAAUUACACGUUGCUGGGUUAAGUCUCAUCUUCCUCCAUAUAAAAGCUCUGCAUAAUUUACCUGGGGUAAGUCUCAUCUUCCUCCAUUACCCUGCCGAGGGAAACACCAAACAAAAACUUCUAGACCGUCAGAAUGAAGCUUCACCAUUACCCUGCCGAGCUACACUGUCAUGCACGACAUAACAUUAAUUUGGCAUGUAUUAUCUGAAAUUCAAACUUACAUAUACGCAUCUCCUGUAAUAUUUAAAAAAAAUAGUAUCCUUUAAUUGUCAUAAGGAACACGUAUGCAGAGAAAAAAAGUGGUCUGCAGCCAGAGAGAACCACAGAAUUAUAACCAAAGAAUAAUUUUGCAAUUUGUCAACAAUCUAAUGAAUCAUAAAGGAUCAAUAGCUAUACGUACAAAAUAAAUUGAAUUGGCUAUAAUGCAUUCAACAUGAAACUAAAUGUGCCUGAGAUUGAGGACUUAUUGGAGACACCAAAUCUGAUUUGAGCAAUAAGGGUUAUAGAAGAAAAGAUACAUAAUGUUGACAAUAAAUUACAUGAAACACCAGAAAUUUAAACCUGAUUAUAAGCAGACGCCAUGAACAGCAUGAAUCGAAUUCAAGAACAAACCUGAAACUAUUUGAUGCCAAUCAAUAUGUUGUAUACAGCAUCACGACACCAGAGUCUAAUAUUCUUAAUAAUUUGGUCACUGCGGCCCCUAGAGUAUGUUGCAUCUUAGCGUGCUCACCAACCUUCUCAAUCCAGGGCACCUUCUUCUCCGCUGACGGUUAGUUAAAGAAAUUGAAGCAGCGCACAAGGAAAAAAAAGACACACUCAAGCAAACAUACCUGAAGUCACGACGGCUGUCUCGCUACCCAUCUUGUCGUUUGACACCAGCGGCAGCCGGAACCUCCAUAUUGUCCACCUGCAGCACCCACACCUAUUGAGGGAGGCCGCUAGCGGGGGAAGGGGCUG